GGCUAGGUUAGUGCCCAAUAGAACAUAUGGACUCGUAUAGAGAAAAUUAGCAUGGCCCCUGUACAAUAAUGACAUGAAAAUUCAUGAGGAGUUCCAUACUUUU
This is a small nuclear RNA of Microtus ochrogaster (prairie vole), 103 nucleotides long. Lineage: Eukaryota; Metazoa; Chordata; Mammalia; Rodentia; Cricetidae. The record is from Ensembl.